GUGGGGAAUAUUGGACAAUGGGCGAAAGCCUGAUCCAGCCAUGCCGCGUGUGUGAAGAAGGUCUUCGGAUUGUAAAGCACUUUAAGUUGGGAGGAAGGGCAGUAAGUUAAUACCUUGCUGUUUUGACGUUACCGACAGAAUAAGCACCGGCUAACUUCGUGCCAGCAGCCGCGGUAAUACGAAGGGUGCAAGCGUUAAUCGGAAUUACUGGGCGUAAAGCGCGCGUAGGUGGUUUUGUAAGUUGGAGGUGAAAUCCCCUGGCUCAACCUGGGAACUGCCUCCAAAACUGCAUGACUAGAGUACGGUAGAGGGUAGUGGAAUUUCCUGUGUAGCGGUGAAAUGCGUAGAUAUAGGAAGGAACACCAGUGGCGAAGGCGACCACCUGGACUGAUACUGACACUGAGGUGCGAAAGCGUGGGGAGCAAACAGGAUUAGAAACCCGGGUAGUCC
Molecule: ribosomal RNA, 450 nt
Filed under: uncultured bacterium
Lineage: Bacteria
Description: partial 16S ribosomal RNA
Rfam family: Bacterial small subunit ribosomal RNA
Source: RNAcentral